UCUCUCUGAGGGAAGGAGAGAUAGGAAACCUUAGGGCCUAGUAGUCCCUAGGAGAGUCAGAUCUGACUAGGAGGAGUGGAAGCAAGGUAAGACAUAGUCCAGAGGUAAAAGCAGUAAUGUUAGAUAAGCUGCACACCUUGACUUCUUGGUAAAGGACCCUGGACUGGAACUCAGAGUAGAGGGUGAGUCUGGGUUUCCCUACCAACCAUUGCAGAGCGGUACUGCUUGGGGUAGUGAAUUAGAAGACUGCCUGGGUCAUUGCAGGAGUGACAGGGUCAGGCUGUUGGGCAUGAGGACUGCUGAUGCUGCUUGAGCAGAAAGACUUUGAAGGACUCCACCCUGGAAGGGGAAACCACUUAGUUACUGGCCGGAGGACCAAGUUGUGAAGAGGAAGCUUCAGCUCCUGGAGUGAGACAGGAGCCGCAGAAUGAGCAAGAGACAGAGAGUGAUGGAUGGGGUGUGAGCCUGGCAGAGCUAAUCCCCAGAACAGCCAGGAGGAGGCACUGUUGAGUGAUGCCAGUGGGAGUUGCAUACCCCAUAAGCAUUGGCAGAAGUAGUAAUGUACACCACCCUGGCCUUUGCAGCAUUGCAGAAUCUGACUCAUAGACAAGAAAAGGAACUCAGUCAUUCAGCAUAUCUGAAGAGGCAGAGAGACAGGGGCUCCAAAAGCUUCAAUAAAAUGUUAUGUGUGACAGAACAGACAGCUGGUGAAAAGAGGAGACUCAUCUUACGGCAAAGUGACAUUGAGAGCUUUCAGAGAUGCUUGCUGUGUUCACGCUAGAGAAAACCUUGAUGUGUGCAAUAAUCUACAGCCACAGCCUUGAAGAUUUCUCUCUUUUUCUCUUUUCCCAUCCUCUGUUCUCAAUAUACCUGUAAAGCAUCAAGAUGAGCUAAAGAGCACUCAGACAAUUUUU
Molecule: long non-coding RNA, 914 nt
Organism: Mauremys reevesii (Reeves's turtle)
Lineage: Eukaryota; Metazoa; Chordata; Testudines; Geoemydidae
Exons: 3
Source: RefSeq, a predicted model, not a curated record